AGGACGAACGCUGGCGGCGUGCCUAACACAUGCAAGUCGAACGGGACCAGGGGCAACUCUGGUUCAGUGGCGGACGGGUGCGUAACACGUGAGGAACAUGACUUUCGGCGGGGGAUAGCCGGCCCAACGGCCGGGUAAUACCGCGUACGACCUCUCGGGGACAUCCCCGGUUGGUGAAAGCAGCAAUGCACCGAAAGAGUGCCUCGCGGCCUAUCAGCUAGUUGGUGAGGUAACGGCUCACCAAGGCGACGACGGGUAGCUGGUCUGAGAGGAUGGCCAGCCACAUUGGGACUGAGACACGGCCCAGACUCCUACGGGAGGCAGCAGUGGGGAAUAUUGCGCAAUGGGCGAAAGCCUGACGCAGCGACGCCGCGUGUGGGAUGACGGCCUUCGGGUUGUAAACCACUGUCGGGAGGGACGAAUGCGCCGCAAGGCGAGUGACGGUACCUCCGAAAGGAAGCACCGGCUAACUCCGUGCCAGCAGCCGC
Molecule: ribosomal RNA, 488 nt
Filed under: uncultured bacterium
Lineage: Bacteria
Description: SSU rRNA
Rfam family: Bacterial small subunit ribosomal RNA
Source: RNAcentral